Long non-coding RNA from Eriocheir sinensis (Chinese mitten crab), 1053 nucleotides. RefSeq lists it as uncharacterized. The record is from RefSeq and is a predicted model, not a curated record. Lineage: Eukaryota; Metazoa; Arthropoda; Malacostraca; Decapoda; Varunidae. The transcript is spliced from 2 exons.
AACAUCCAACCCAAAACUGUCUCCUUGGCCCCAAUAACUAGCUUCAUUUAUAUUCAUCGUUAAAAUACUUAAUUCCUGGUGUUUCUUGGCCAUAGUUAGGCGUCAGAAACCGGUAAAUAUGAGGCUCUGAGUACGAUAAUUUGGCAACGGUGGACUGGUGCGAUGGUGUACGGGUUGCCAGAUUGUCGUACUCAGCCUCAAACAGACCAACUUCCAACCCAAAACUGUCCCCUUGGCCCCAAUAACUAGCUUCAUUUAUAUUCAUCGUUAAAAUACUUAAUUCCUGGUGUUUCUUGGCCAUAGUUAGGCGUCAGAAACCGGUAUAUAUGAGGCUCUGAGUACGAUAAUCUGGCAACGGUGACUAAGCAACUCUAAUUUCUACGCAUUUCGCCUUGAGUCGUGGUGGAGGACGGACGUGUUCUCUCGUGGUCAUCUCCUGCCCGUUAUUAAGAUACUGAAGGACUACUGAACUGACUAACUGAUGGGAAGCAUACAUCAGGGGGUGCAUUGCUUCACUCACUCCCCACCUCCACUCCGAAUGAUCUUCCCAAGCAAGCCUUCAAACAGAUGCUCUUUCCACUACAAGCCUCCACUCCCAAUGAUCUUCCCAAGCAAGCCUUCACACAGCUGCCCCUUCCACUACAAGCCUCCACUCCCAAUGAUCUUCCCAAGCAAGCCUCUCCACAGCUGCCCCUUCCACUACAAGCCUCCACUCCCAAUGAUCUUCCCAAGCAAGCCUUCACACAGCUGCCCCUUCCACUACAAGCCUCCACUCCCAAUGAUCUUCCCAAGCAAGCCUUCACACAGCUGCCCCUUCCACUACAAGCCUCCACUCCCAAUGAUCUUCCCAAGCAAGCCUCUCCACAGCUGCCCCUUCCACUCAAAGCCCCUCUCAGCAGGAUCAAUCAACUUGCUCCAGUCACUCAGGGUUGUCAUACAGGAUCAAUGUCCAGUCAGUGUUACCAGUGUCAUAAUAGGCAUACUUUUCUCGUCUGUUUGAGGCCUAAAACUGUCGAGCCUACACCGAUUCACAAUUAGAGUGUGGUUUAGUGA